RNAcentral lists this transfer RNA (72 nucleotides) under Candidatus Woesebacteria bacterium RIFCSPHIGHO2_01_FULL_39_17. RNAcentral describes it as "tRNA-Pro". It matches the Rfam family "tRNA". Rfam says of the family: Transfer RNA (tRNA) molecules are approximately 80 nucleotides in length. Their secondary structure includes four short double-helical elements and three loops (D, anti-codon, and T loops). RNAcentral also lists the same sequence under 1 other name. Lineage: Bacteria; Candidatus Woeseibacteriota. The record is from RNAcentral.
CGGGGAGUAGUUCAGCAGUAGAACACACGGUUCGGGACCGUGAGGUGGGAGGUGCGACUCCUCUCUCCCCGA